Molecule: long non-coding RNA, 683 nt
Organism: Poecile atricapillus (Black-capped chickadee)
Lineage: Eukaryota; Metazoa; Chordata; Aves; Passeriformes; Paridae
Exons: 3
Source: RefSeq, a predicted model, not a curated record
UAGGAACUGCUCCGUCCUGUGUUCCCAUAGCUGCACAAGUCACCUGGGAAAUAGGCCCAAACUGCUGUUAUCAUUUAUUUGCCUCUGAAUUGGUGAAGUUCCAAAGAAUGGCCAAGUUCUGCACAGGGCUGAAGCCUUUGGGAUGCUGGAAGUGGAUACUGGGGAUGAGCCUUGUUUUCCCAACACUUCAGGAUUUUGCUGGGGUUUUAAGGACAGUGAAAUUACUGAUAAAUUAUAGAGCAAAGUCUCUGGACUCCCCCCAAGAGCAGUGAGAAUUAAACUGAGCAGAAGUUAAUGUGAGCAAGUGUUCACUUCCCAAUAUCCUACAGAACAUUUCCUCCAGCCAUGGUUUAUGUUAAACUGGAAGUGGAUUGGGCUCAAACCCCUGAGAACAGAGCUCAAUCCUGUUUGGAAGAAGCCACAAUAUCCUCCCCCCAUCCCCAAGCCCUGCCACGGGUGGGCUGGAAGGGAACAAGGAAGGAAAAUGGACUGAAUUCAGUGAGUGCAUCCAGAGGAUAUUGAGCUGCAGGAUCAUUUGUGUCAGAAGAAUCACACAGCUUGAUGGCACAGGGAUUUCAUUGUCCCUAAAUCAUCUCAGAUAUGGUAAUACCAUACCCAGGGACUAAUAUUGCUGACUAUAAUUCCUGAGAAAUGGCACCUUCUCCUGUAGUUGGUGGAGAUGA